This 498-nucleotide ribosomal RNA is filed under the name uncultured bacterium. RNAcentral's name for it is "partial 16S ribosomal RNA". It matches the Rfam family "Bacterial small subunit ribosomal RNA", at positions 28 to 507 of the family's 1533-position model. The record is from RNAcentral.
GACGAACGCUGGCGGCGUGCCUAAUACAUGCAAGUCGAGCGGACGGAUGGGAGCUUGCUCCCAGACCGUCAGCGGCGGACGGGUGAGUAACACGUGGGCAACCUGCCUGUAAGACUGGGAUAACUCCGGGACACCGGCGCCCAUCCCCGCCACCUCUUUCCCUCCCCUGCCGCACAGCUCAAACAUCGCACCCCGCUACCCCUUACCGAUGGGCCCGCGGCGCAUUCGCCAGUUGGUGAGGUAACGGCUCACCAAGGCGACGAUGCGUAGCCGACCUGAGAGGGUGAUCGGCCACACUGGGACUGAGACACGGCCCAGACUCCUACGGGAGGCAGCAGUAGGGAAUCUUCCGCAAUGGACGAAAGUCUGACGGAGCAACGCCGCGUGAGUGAUGAAGGUUUUCGGAUCGUAAAACUCUGUUGUCAGGGAAGAACAAGUACCGGAGUAACUGCCGGUACCUUGACGGUACCUGACCAGAAAGCCACGGCUAACUACGUG